Long non-coding RNA from Limulus polyphemus (Atlantic horseshoe crab), 388 nucleotides. RefSeq lists it as uncharacterized. The transcript is spliced from 2 exons. NCBI's taxonomy places the organism in Eukaryota, Metazoa, Arthropoda, Merostomata, Xiphosura, Limulidae. The record is from RefSeq and is a predicted model, not a curated record.
AUUCAGAAAUUAUAUUUUAAGUGUUACAUUUUUUUUCACACUCAGAACUGAAAUCAUCAAAUACCAAAACCAUACCAAGUUCAGGAACAUCCUGUGUGUCAAAGCCACAACCUCUUCAGCAAAGCAAACCAAGCUUGAAGAAAGAAAUUAAUCUAUUCCCCAUUAGUCGCAGACGUCUUACACUUUUAGAAAAGCUCCUGGCCAAAGAAAUUCGUCACGAGAGAAAUAUAAUUUUCCAAUGUGUACAUUACAUUGUACAGAAUAAAUUUUUUGAAGAAACAAUGUCAACACCAGAACCUUCCACAAAUUUAUAAGGAUUUAUCUGGUAUUUUGUUUGUGUUGUCAAUCAGUAUAUUUGAUCUUUGGAAAUAAAAUUUGUAGUAAGGUA